UACACAUGAGUUGUGUUGAGUUCCUGC
This 27-nucleotide non-coding RNA is filed under the name Rattus norvegicus (Norway rat). Lineage: Eukaryota; Metazoa; Chordata; Mammalia; Rodentia; Muridae. The record is from RNAcentral.